CGCUGUAAACGAUGUCGACUUAGGUGUUCCCUUGAGGAGUGGCUUCCGGAGCUAACGCGUUAAGUCGACCGCCUGGGGAGUACGGCCGCAAGGUUAAAACUCAAAUGAAUUGACGGGGGCCCGCACAAGCGGUGGAGCAUGUGGUUUAAUUCGAUGCAACGCGAAGAACCUUACCUACUCUUGACAUCCAAGAACUUAGCAGAGAUGCUUUGGUGCCUUCGGGAACUGAGACAGGUGCUGCAUGGCUGUCGUCAGCUCGUGUUGUGAAAUGUUGGGUUAAGUCCCGCAACGAGCGCAACCCUUAUCCUUUGUUGCCAGCGUUCGGCGGGAACUCAAAGGAGACUGCCAGUGAUAAACUGGAGGAAGGUGGGGAUGACGUCAAGUCAUCAUGGCCCUUACGAGUAGGGCUACACACGUGCUACAAUGGCAUAUACAAAGAGAAGCGACCUCGCGAGAGCAAGCGGACCUCAUAAAGUAUGUCGUAGUCCGGAUUGGAGUCUGCAACUCGACUCCAUGAAGUCGGAAUCGCUAGUAAUCGUGGAUCAGAAUGCCACGGUGAAU
Molecule: ribosomal RNA, 561 nt
Filed under: Enterobacter sp. NCIM 2694
Lineage: Bacteria; Pseudomonadati; Pseudomonadota; Gammaproteobacteria; Enterobacterales; Enterobacteriaceae
Description: bacterial SSU rRNA
Rfam family: Bacterial small subunit ribosomal RNA
Source: RNAcentral